Molecule: long non-coding RNA, 1982 nt
Organism: Branchiostoma floridae (Florida lancelet)
Lineage: Eukaryota; Metazoa; Chordata; Leptocardii; Amphioxiformes; Branchiostomatidae
Exons: 2
Source: RefSeq, a predicted model, not a curated record
AGAAAUGCAUUCUCAGCUGACCGUGAGGUCGUGAGGUAGGUUUACAGCGACAUCGACAACAUACGGCGGACGGCAGUGACUCAGCAGGGUUGACAACAACAGUCCUGCGUGCUUUCGUCGAUCUGAGGACAUAUCUUCUAACUGGAAAGGAGACCAACGUUACAAAGCAACAUGUGCUGAGUGAUAAUCUCGGGCAUCGAGUGGUGCCUGAAGAAGAUACAGCAAUGCUGCUGUGGUACGCCAGAGGAGGAGACCAACAAGCGUAGCCUCAGCUGUGCGUCCACCAAGUCCCGCCCUGCAGGGGGAUGAGGCUCGGGGAGGGGGUACCCAGUGCAGCAACAGUACGACCAGUACCCUGUCACCAAGCAGCCACCUCCACCCUACUAUGGUCAGACGACUCAGAGACCAGGAUGAGGCUAGGCCUUAAAAAGUGCCACUAUUAAACACGGGAAUGGUUCCCAUAGGAAUGCUUUUAUGUGCAACAUACAUUUCAAAUUUUCUUUAACUACAGCACUGUACAUUUUUGCAAAUAGUUUUUCUUUUCUGUUGAUACUUUCUAAUAAUAGAAGUAGUAAUAGUCCAUAGUAUAACAUGAUUCCUUCCAUGUUAUUGUUGACGUAACAGGAUAACUUCAGCAAAAUGUUUCUCAAACUUACUUUUCUCUGGAGAAAGUAUUGUCAUAUGGCAACAGGUAGUUCAUACCAAGGAGGUUUUUUUAACCUCCUUGUUCCUACUACAACAUAAUGAUGUAUGAUGCUUGUAUUUAGAAGUAAGUGUUGUCACUCUCUUUGAUAAAUCUUCCUUAAUGCUAAUAAGAGAGCCAUUUUUAAUGAAGGCUGCACCCUAAAGUCACAUGGCGGGGUCAGUUGGAUGUGCACUAAUGGCCUCUUUGUUGAUACUUAUGGACCAUUACCCCUGUUUAAUGAUACAGUAUUUCAAAUGUCUAUAUUUACCAAUUAAUGAACACUACCCCAGAUUCAACAAAUGAGGUAUCCAUUUACUCAAGGAGGUUAACCUCCUUGAUUUACUGUAGAAGACAACCUACUGUUCAGUAUUUGACUAGAAGUAAGACACUCCAUAUUGUGUUGCAUGGAAGUCUUGAAGACAUUUUUAUCUUAGCUUGUGAUAUUCUAUAAACUUUGUUAAUACAGUAUAAAAUACAUGGGGAUUAAAUGCUGUGCUAUAGUAUACUAUUAGCAAACUAAUAAACGAUUUUUGGUAGAUCAUUGUGAUGCGUAAGUAAGUUGUAAUUACAAAUCACAGAAAGCCUCAAAUAGUACAGAAUAAAGUGACUUAUUUGUACACUGUCAUCCUGCUAUUUCAUGCCUGAGCAAUACUGGUGCUUUUACGGUGUAGCACAUGUACGAAUGGCAAUAGUUAUGAGCUUCGAGAUACUAUUAACUUGUAUGACACCGUUCAAAAUUCAGUCCUCUUGUUCAGAAAAGCCUGCUACAAUCUCUGUCACAGUGUUUCCAUUUAUUUCUGCAUAACCACCCCAACUUGAAGAGUUGUACCCACAGGCUGUACAUGUUUACUAUGUUAUGCUUCAGCAAAAGGUGGCUGUAGAUCAAGGGGACAUGUAUGACUAUGGAAAUUCAAGAAUGAUAAUAUAAGGGGACAUAUCAUUGUUUCUGUGCCUUGAAUAACUGUUUGUCGGAAAGAUAUUUUUUAGGAUUUAACAUCAGGAAGUGAUGGACCAAAAUUUAUCAGGUUUAUAAGGUUGAAUUACUAGUAACCAUUGUGAUAACAGGUUUUUAUCAGUAUUUGUAUCCAAUAUUACUCCUGCCCAAUAGAACAGCAAUCAGAUUUUUCCCAAUAUAAGAUAUAGAAACUGUAAUUACUUUGUAGUGAGGAAUUCUUGGAAUUUUCUGCGGCAAAAUUCUGCCUGAUUGUUUGACAUAUGAUCUGUCUAUGUCGUCUUAGCAUCAUCAGUAGUUAAGUGUUACAUUUUGUGAAGAGCAAGGAAUAAAUUUGUAACUGGA